UUAUAAAUCCUUUAAUUUGUAUUAUUACAUUUUAUGAUAAAUUAUUGUGUAUUAACAAAUCUGCAUUGUAAAAAUGUUAGCAAAAAGCUAUAUAGACACUGCAAUGUAUAUAUAAAUAUAUUUAUUUUGAACAAAUAAUGUAGUUGACAGCUCCCUAUCAUAACAAGCUACAGCAUAACAAUCGUGACUUUAGGCCUAAUGAUUCAGUAAAAGGUUAAUGAUAGACGCAGUAUAGACUCCAAGCAUCACCUAACAUAACAAUCGUAACUUUAGGCCUAACGAUUCAGUAAAAGGUUAAUGAUAGACUCAGUAUAGACUCUAAGCAUCACCUUACAUAACAAUCGUGACUGUAGGCCUAACGAUUCAGUAAAAGGUUAAUGAUAGACGCAGUAUAGACUCCAAGCAUCACCU
Molecule: long non-coding RNA, 411 nt
Organism: Mizuhopecten yessoensis (Yesso scallop)
Lineage: Eukaryota; Metazoa; Mollusca; Bivalvia; Pectinida; Pectinidae
Exons: 2
Source: RefSeq, a predicted model, not a curated record